Molecule: non-coding RNA, 370 nt
Organism: Myotis lucifugus (little brown bat)
Lineage: Eukaryota; Metazoa; Chordata; Mammalia; Chiroptera; Vespertilionidae
Source: Rfam
UGGGCAGGCGACAAGUGCGGGUCUGGCGGAGCGCGGUGGCGCGCGGAGACCGAGAGGCGACCGCGGGCGGCAGGGCCCCCGGCGGCGCGCCACUCGGCCGGGCCGAGAGUCGCGUCAGUCGGUGUUCCCGGCCGAGCGCGGUCCGCCUCCCUCUCAGCGCCCAUCCGGCCUGAGGGCGGCCAGAGGGCAUGUGGGACCCCACAAGGGCGCCACCGCCGGUGCUCGCCGGCCGCGGGUGAAGAGGAGAGUACGGCCUCACUCAACCCAGAGCAGAGAGGUGGCCCGGAGCGAAGAGGGGUUCCGGAGCGAAGAGGGGUUCCGGAGCGAAGAGGAGGUGCUGAGCGAAGAGGAGAUGCUGAGCGAACAGGUG